This 443-nucleotide ribosomal RNA is filed under the name uncultured bacterium. RNAcentral describes it as "bacterial SSU rRNA". It matches the Rfam family "Bacterial small subunit ribosomal RNA", at positions 958 to 1398 of the family's 1533-position model. The record is from RNAcentral.
AACGCGAAGAACCUUACCUGGGCUCGAAAUGCUACGGACCAGCUUAUGAAAGUAGGCCUUCCCGCAAGGGACCGUAGUAUAGGUGCUGCAUGGCUGUCGUCAGCUCGUGUCGUGAGAUGUUGGGUUAAGUCCCGCAACGAGCGCAACCCUUGUCCUGUGUUGCCACUCCCGUAAGGGAAGCACUCUCAGGAGACCGCCAGCGAUAAGUUGGAGGAAGGUGGGGAUGAUGUCAAGUCAUCAUGGCCUUUAUGUCCAGGGCUACACACGUGCUACAAUGGUCGGUACAAAGCGCUGCUAACCCGCGAGGGGGAGCCAAUCGCAAAAAGCCGGCCUCAGUUCGGAUUGCAGGCUGCAACUCGCCUGCAUGAAGCUGGAAUCGCUAGUAAUGCCGUAUCAGAAUGAUGGCGUGAAUACGUUCCCGGGCCUUGUACACACCGGUACUA